GACGAACGCUGGCGGCGUGCUUAACACAUGCAAGUCGAACGGAAAGGCCCUGCUUUUGUGGGGUGCUCGAGUGGCGAACGGGUGAGUAACACGUGAGUAACCUGCCCUUGACUUUGGGAUAACUUCAGGAAACUGGGGCUAAUACCGGAUAGGAGCUCCUGCUGCAUGGUGGGGGUUGGAAAGUUUCGGCGGAUGGGGAUGGACUCGGGGCUUAUCAGCUUGUUGGUGGGGUAGUGGCUUACCAAGGCAUUGACGGGUAGCCGGCCUGAGAGGGUGACCGGCCACAUUGGGACUGAGAGACGGCCCAGACUCCUACGGGAGGCAGCAGUGGGGAAUAUGGCACAAUGGGCGGAAGCCUGAUGCAGCAACGCCGCGUGCGGGAUGACGGCCUUCGGGUUGUAAACCGCUUUCGCCUGUGACGAAGCGUGAGUGACGGUAAUGGGUAAAGAAGCACCGGCUAACUACGUG
Molecule: ribosomal RNA, 468 nt
Filed under: uncultured bacterium
Lineage: Bacteria
Description: partial 16S ribosomal RNA
Rfam family: Bacterial small subunit ribosomal RNA
Source: RNAcentral